Molecule: ribosomal RNA, 440 nt
Filed under: uncultured bacterium
Lineage: Bacteria
Description: partial 16S ribosomal RNA
Rfam family: Bacterial small subunit ribosomal RNA
Source: RNAcentral
CCUACGGGAGGCAGCAGUAGGGAAUAUUGCUCAAUGGGGGAAACCCUGAAGCAGCAACGCCGCGUGGAGGAUGAAGGUUUUAGGAUUGUAAACUCAUUUUGUGAGAGAAGAUAAUGACGGUAUCCCACGAAUAAGCCUCGGCUAACUCAGGGCCAGCAGCCGACGGAAUAAGGAGGGUGCAAGCGUUACUCGGGAUCACUGGGCGCAAAGAGUGCGCCGGCGGGCUUGUAAGUCAGGUGUGAAAUCCUGUAGCUUAACUACAUAACUGCAUUGGAAACUAUGAGUCUAGAGUGUGGUAGAGGUAGGUGGAAUUCUUGGUGUAGGGGUAAAAUCCGUAGAUAUCAAGAGGAACACUCAUGGCGAAGGCGACCUACUGGAACAUUACUGACGCUCAUGCACGAAAGUGUGGGGAGCAAACAGGAUUAGAUACCCGAGUAGUC